This 244-nucleotide ribosomal RNA is filed under the name Saccharothrix sp. CB00851. RNAcentral's name for it is "partial 16S ribosomal RNA". It matches the Rfam family "Bacterial small subunit ribosomal RNA", at positions 1 to 248 of the family's 1533-position model. Lineage: Bacteria; Bacillati; Actinomycetota; Actinomycetes; Pseudonocardiales; Pseudonocardiaceae. The record is from RNAcentral.
CUUAUUGGAGAGUUUGAUCCUGGCUCAGGACGAACGCUGGCGGCGUGCUUAACACAUGCAAGUCGAGCGGUAAGGCCCUUCGGGGUACACGAGCGGCGAACGGGUGAGUAACACGUGGGUAACCUGCCCUGUACUCUGGGAUAAGCCUGGGAAACUAGGUCUAAUACCGGAUACGACCUGCUAUCGCAUGGUGGGGGGUGGAAAGUUCCGGCGGUACGGGAUGGACCCGCGGCCUAUCAGCUUG